GUCUUUAGCAAGACUAAUCUAACUUUGGAAGCUAAGUAGGGCCAGACCGUUUGCAAUGCUUGUAUGGGAGACUGCUUGGGAAUACUAGGUGCUAAAAGCU
This 100-nucleotide ribosomal RNA is filed under the name Fundulus heteroclitus (mummichog). Lineage: Eukaryota; Metazoa; Chordata; Actinopteri; Cyprinodontiformes; Fundulidae. The record is from RNAcentral.